Molecule: long non-coding RNA, 570 nt
Organism: Mytilus californianus (California mussel)
Lineage: Eukaryota; Metazoa; Mollusca; Bivalvia; Mytilida; Mytilidae
Exons: 4
Source: RefSeq, a predicted model, not a curated record
AAAUCGUUUUUUUCAUUAGCUUCGUACUAUUGGUGCUAGUUUCUGGCGCUUUGAUUGGUGUUUUUGAAAAAGAUUUAUGCUCGGGAUCGUUUAUUUUCAUUGUUUUUGGAAUAAUAAUAUGCCUAACUCUUUUAAUCCUGUUCCUCAGAAGAAUCAAAGAUGUCAAAGAAGAGUUAAAUGGAUCAGCUGAUGAAACAAUAUCGGUGGUUAGCGCAGACGUAAAUGAUUUAGUUGACGAGGGAUCAAGUGGUUUAAAUUGUGUUGAUGACGAAGGAGCAAAUGAUUAAGAAGAAGAAGGAGCGAUUAAUUCAAAUGAUAUUUACGUACAAAGAACUUGUAUUUUCGGUGGACAGUAAACGAGGUGGUUCCCUCUCGGAGAAUAAUCAUUUGACCCGAUGUAAAAAACCAAAAAUGAUUGUCAGACUGUUCAAGGUGGAUUUAUAGAAAAAAACAUAUGUCACAAAUGUUACGUGUGUGUAUUUGCUUUAAGUUCUUUAUGCAUUUUAUAGAAUAGCAAUGUUAAGUUAUAUGCCACUGUCUCUUUGUUCUACUUUAUAUAAGAAAGUGUUU